Molecule: long non-coding RNA, 685 nt
Filed under: Homo sapiens (human)
Lineage: Eukaryota; Metazoa; Chordata; Mammalia; Primates; Hominidae
Description: HSALNT0105748
Source: RNAcentral
UUUGAAGCAGAGAAAUCCAAGGGAGACACUGGUCUGGCAAAUAAGAGAAAAAGACCAGUGAUGAAAGAUCAAGAGGCCUAUCGAGCAGGGAGCCGGUACAGGUAAAGUCACUCUGGGUCAGGAACAAGGAGGGGAGGGCUGCAGGGAGCCAGGAGCCAGGCUCAGAGAACUCAGGGCGCAGCUGCACCGGGGUGUCUCCCAUUCCCUCCAGCUUCCCAGGCAAUCUCUAGAGCGGCCGAUACGCAUGUGGAGCACAGACGUCUGAGGUCCCCAGAGUCUGCUGGCCGCCUCUUUCAAAACGCUGGGGAGAACAAGAUCAGGGCUAGGAAGACACCUGCCAGUGCUGGCUGGCUCCUCAUCACCUUCUCAUCCCAUCAGCAUUAUCUCACCACACCUCCAGGCCCCGUGGGCCUGGAUCAGGUCCACAGGAGCAAGCUUCCAGGUAAAUCUAGAUCCAUUCCUAAACCUGUUCUCCCUGUCUGGAGCAGGCAUCCCACAGCAGCCUGCCCAAGCAAACACUCUCCUUACUUGUUUUCCAACCAACAGCAUCUCUUUUCAGACUUCUUUCUUUUAAGCCCUCAUCCAGGCCAUAAAGAACAGGCAGCCACCCCUUGCAAACUGACUCAUCCCUCCUCACAUCCUCAACUUCUUUUCAGAGAUGUAGAGGCUGUGCUUUUAGAAGAAC